Molecule: transfer RNA, 74 nt
Filed under: compost metagenome
Description: tRNA-Phe
Rfam family: tRNA
About the family: Transfer RNA (tRNA) molecules are approximately 80 nucleotides in length. Their secondary structure includes four short double-helical elements and three loops (D, anti-codon, and T loops).
Source: RNAcentral
GGUCCGGUAGCUCAGUUGGUAGAGCGGUAGCCUGAAGAGCUGCGCGUCGGGGGUUCAAGUCCCUCUCGGACCAC